This 253-nucleotide ribosomal RNA is filed under the name uncultured bacterium. RNAcentral's name for it is "partial 16S ribosomal RNA". It matches the Rfam family "Bacterial small subunit ribosomal RNA", at positions 524 to 776 of the family's 1533-position model. The record is from RNAcentral.
UACGAAGGGGGCUAGCGUUGCUCGGAAUUACUGGGCGUAAAGCGCACGUAGGCGGCUUUCUAAGUCGGGGGUGAAAUCCUGGAGCUCAACUCCAGAACUGCCUUCGAUACUGGAAAGCUCGAGUCCGGGAGAGGUGAGUGGAACUGCGAGUGUAGAGGUGAAAUUCGUAGAUAUUCGCAAGAACACCAGUGGCGAAGGCGGCUCACUGGCCCGUAACUGACGCUGAGGUGCGGAAGCGUGGGGAGCAAACAGG